This 64-nucleotide transfer RNA is filed under the name Raeta sp. RNAcentral's name for it is "tRNA-Trp". The record is from RNAcentral. Lineage: Eukaryota; Metazoa; Mollusca; Bivalvia; Venerida; Anatinellidae.
AGAGCAUUAAGUUAUGUUAGACUGUGAUAUUUCAAAUGUUGAAGAGGGUGAAGCCCAUGUUCUG